This 253-nucleotide ribosomal RNA is filed under the name uncultured bacterium. RNAcentral's name for it is "partial 16S ribosomal RNA". It matches the Rfam family "Bacterial small subunit ribosomal RNA", at positions 524 to 776 of the family's 1533-position model. The record is from RNAcentral.
UACGUAGGGUGCGAGCGUUAAUCGGAAUUACUGGGCGUAAAGCGUGCGCAGGCGGUUCGUUAUGUCCGUUGUGAAAGCCCCGGGCUCAACCUGGGAAUGGCAAUGGAAACUGGCGGGCUCGAGUGUGGCAGAGGGGGGUGGAAUUCCGCGUGUAGCAGUGAAAUGCGUAGAGAUGCGGAGGAACACCGAUGGCGAAGGCAGCCCCCUGGGCUAACACUGACGCUCAGGCACGAAAGCGUGGGGAGCAAAACGG